AAGGACUAUAUAUACUAAAAUCAUCAUCUUCAGUUUUGAAAGACUUAAGUAGAAAAUAA
This 59-nucleotide unclassified non-coding RNA is filed under the name Candidatus Phytoplasma trifolii. RNAcentral's name for it is "partial 16S-23S ribosomal RNA intergenic spacer". The record is from RNAcentral. Lineage: Bacteria; Bacillati; Mycoplasmatota; Mollicutes; Acholeplasmatales; Acholeplasmataceae.